UACGGAGGGUGCAAGCGUUAUCCGGAUUUAUUGGGUUUAAAGGGUCCGUAGGCGGACGAUUAAGUCAGCGGUGAAAGCCCACAGCUCAACUGUGGAACUGCCAUUGAUACUGGUUGUCUUGAGUACGGUUGAUGUUGGCGGAAUAAGUCAUGUAGCGGUGAAAUGCAUAGAUAUGACUUGGAACCCCGAUUGCGAAGGCAGCCAACAAAGCCGAAACUGACGCUGAGGGACGAAAGCGUGGGUAGCGAACAGG
This 253-nucleotide ribosomal RNA is filed under the name uncultured bacterium. Its description in RNAcentral is "partial 16S ribosomal RNA". It matches the Rfam family "Bacterial small subunit ribosomal RNA", at positions 524 to 776 of the family's 1533-position model. The record is from RNAcentral.